AAUCGCAGAGACAUCUAUCAAAUACCAUAGGUCCAAGGGCACAAGGUAAUGUGAAGCAUCCUGGAUCUUCUAGCUUCUUUGGAAUGACCAGUCUCUGAAUGAUAGCACUGCACUCAUGAGUGAGAAUCACCAUGCCCUCCAUCUCUUUCUUCUUUGCAGCUACAGCAUCUUUGAGGAACUUGCUGUACUGAGGGAUCAGCAUGAAAGCGUCAAUAAUGGGCAUUGUGACCUGGACUUCACUCAUUUGCUUGUCAAACAAAGCUUUGUACUUCUCUAGCAGCUGCCUCUUGAAUCGACCUGGGAAUGGAAGCUUGGGUUCAUAAGCAGGAGGAACAAAAGAGUUUUCACUUGCAGGAGUGACGACUUCACCAUCUUUAACUGUUUUCUUCUCUUCUCCAACCUUUCC
Molecule: long non-coding RNA, 406 nt
Filed under: Brassica napus (rape)
Lineage: Eukaryota; Viridiplantae; Streptophyta; Magnoliopsida; Brassicales; Brassicaceae
Description: long non-coding RNA (BNAP_LNC002353)
Source: RNAcentral